CCUACGGGUGGCAGCAGUGAGGAAUAUUGGUCAAUGGCCGAAAGGCUGAACCAGCCAAGUCGCGUGAAGGAAGACUGUCCUACGGGUUGUAAACCGCUUUUGUCCGGGAGUAACGUCACCCACGUGUAGGGCUUGGAGAGUACCGGAAGAAAAAGCACCGGCUAACUCCGUGCCAGCAGCCGCGGUAAUACGGAGGAUGCGGGCGUUAUCCGGAUUUAUUGGGUUUAAAGGGGGCGUAGGCGGAUUAUCAAGCGUGCGGUAAAAUGGUGGAGCUCAACUCCGGCCAGCCGUUGAAACUGAGGAUCUUGAGUGCGCGAGAAGCAUGCGGAAUGCGUGGUGUAGCGGUGAAAUGCAUAGAUAUCACGAAGAACUCCGAUUGCGAAGGCAGCUUGCUGGCGCCCGACUGACGCUGAUGCUCGAAAGCGCGGGUAUCGAACAGGAUUAGAUACCCUAGUAGUC
Molecule: ribosomal RNA, 459 nt
Filed under: uncultured bacterium
Lineage: Bacteria
Description: partial 16S ribosomal RNA
Rfam family: Bacterial small subunit ribosomal RNA
Source: RNAcentral